UGAAAUUCGAAUCCGCGCUUACUAGUCUCUCUCACUCGAUCUCGAGGGCUAGGUCGUCGGCGAUGUUUUCCGGCAGAGAGAAUCCGACGGCGAAUUUAGUAAAUAGGCAGAAUCUUUUCGUUCAGAUCUUCGAGAGGAAGAGGCGAAUCGUCGAGAAGGUCAAGCAACAAGUAGAUCUUUUUGACGACCAUUUAGCCUCCAAGUGCCUACUCGCCGGAGUCUCCCCUCCGUCGUGGCUCUGGCCUCCGUCUAUACCUUCCGAAACUUCCGAGUUGAAUAAGGAGGAGAUCAUCUCAGGACUCCUCUUUCCUCAAUCAAGACCUUCCUUCAUUUGUCCUAGCGGCCGUCUCUUUCCGUAUCAGCCGCCCGUCAGUUUUCUAGCUGACAGUGUAGGAAGACAGGACCUGACGUCUGUGGUAAACAACACUUUGGAAGAGCAGUUGUUUGAAGAAGAACAACAACACCACCACCUCUCACACAACUUCGUCAGACGCGUUUCAGAUCAUUCUCACGAACAGGGUGAUGGUACUGCAUUUCCUAGAGAUGUCCAUGAGGAGGAACCAUUGCCAGAAGGUGUCUCAAUUGGUUGCAGAGAGAAUGAAAGCUGUCCGUCUCGUGGACACAGUCAGAAUCAGAGAGUUGUAAAUAGCCUUGGUGCUACAUCUCCUGGACGUAGCCAAGGAAAAAUGGUUCCUGAAAGUGUCUCAACUACUGGUUGUGAGCGGAAACUAUCAACUCUCGGAUAUUGUCAACAUGAAACUGAACCAGACACUUGCUUUGACCCUGGACUACCAGUACCGCUUGAGAAGAUUCAGAGAUCGAAGUCACGUCAAAAAGAUUUCGAGCGUCGGAGUAGUGCCAAAGCUUCCAGAAGCCGUUCAAACUAUAGAAAUGAGCUCAAACCUUCUCCAGGUGGAAAUAUAGGCCCUGAGAUUGCUUCGUUAAGGUCCGACAGUGUUAGGGAAACAAAUUUAUUUGAGCAUGAUGAGAAUGAUGAAGGUUGUCCCGAUGAAGUAGAGGACCGCAAUUCUCAAGGUAAAGGAGGGGAUCAGUGUAUUAAGUUUAGCUUAUCUACAGAGUCUUCAACCCCACAUCAGAAAGUGGUUCCUUUGCAAAGAGCUACCAGUGGAGAUGCUUCUGCUUCUAUUGUACCAAAAUCUCUAAGCGAGGCUGGUCAUGUGAAUGAAAUGGAUGUACUACAGACCAUUGAGACAAUUGCUGAAGUGUCUGUUAAAGUAGAUGAGCAACUGGAUGAUCCCCACAGCAGAAGUUGCAAUGAAACAGCUUAUCUCGAUGGGGGUACAAGAUCUAAAAGCUCAAGCCAUGAUAGAUCCAAGAGGGAACAUCAAAAGUCUAGCAACUCUGUUUCGGGUAGCAUCUCGUCAAGAAAUUCAGAUCCCUCUCACAGGGCAGAUGAUGGAGUAGAAUUACCCCAGGUAAUACCUCUCACUAAUGAAGAUUCUAGGCUGACAGAUGCUGGAGCGAGACUCUUUCAGUCUGAAAUUAAAACAAGAUCCAGCAGCAAUGCACGGAGAAAUAAAUCCAAGACUGGGCAUUCAGGCUCUGUUAAGUCUUCUUCAGUUGACCUGGAGCCAAUACAUUCGAUUUCAUCACUGCAAGGUGGAGAUGCAAAGGAGUCACUGAUUCCCUCGACUAUUGAUGUUGAAGGCUUGGUAGUUGUAAAUAUUACCAGCGACGAUCAAGCAAAAGAAAAGGGUGAAGGUGUAAAAGAGUCACUGGUUCCCUCUAUAGUCGAUGUUGAAGGUGGUAAUUCUGGAGGAAUUAGAUCUAAGACCGAGCAUUCAGGCUCUCUUGAGUCUUCUUCAGUUGACGUGGAACCAAGACAUUCAGGUUCAUUACUGCAAGGCCGAGAAGUAAAGGAAUCGCCCAUUCCCUCUUCUAUUGAUGUUGAAAGAUUAGUAAAUGAAGAUAUGACCAGCAAUGAUCAAUCAAAAGAAAAGGGUGAAUGUGUAAAGGAGUCAAUGAUUCCCUCGACUAUUGAUAUUGAAGGUUUAGCAGUGGAAGAUAUCACCAGGGGCAAUCAAUUAAAAGGAAAGGGUAAAUGUGUUGACACUAACAUAUGUUCAAGUGCUGGAAGGAUCAGCCAAACUGGCGUAUCCACAGAUGAGACGACACUUGCGAGUGCAAUUGAAAACUCUAUACCCAAGACCGAGCUUUUGGGAUUUGUUGAUUCCUCUUCAGCUGAACUGCAGUGGAGACACUCAGUAAUGCAAUCAGACGAUGAAAGUGUAUUGUUGAAGCCCGUUACUGAUACUGGUGAAGCUUUAUUAAUGGAGGAAGAUAAGGCUGGGGAAUCAACUGAAGUUAGCGGUAUCUCAAAAUCUAGAAGUUUAAGCCAAACUGACAUCACGGUAGUUGAGCAAGUGGUGGUUGAAUCUAUUCUUCAAGAAAGUGGUACCCCAGAAGACAUGACUGACCAUUCUAAAAAAUGGGAUACUGGUUGUGUGUCCAAGGAAGAGCAGUCACAGGGUUCAUUGACCAAAGCAGGGAGUAACCAGUGCCAUGGGAUAGUAAGUAGGCCAAGAAGCUUAGCAACUGAAGAGAAAUCAGCAAAUGAAUAUAAUGAUCUUUCUAUUGACUCUGAUCGUAAAUCAACUGAGGAACAGCUUAAAGUUAGAGCAGGAAACGCAUCAGUGAGAACGCAUGAUCUCCCUGACUUUAUGAAGCCUGAAUCACACUGUUUUGAUGAUACUGGAGAACGCAGCUUCGAUGACAUUCCAAUGAACAGUCGAGAAAAAACUACAAUGGAGAAGGUCCUAACACCAGCAUCUGCUGCAAGGAUGUCAGAUGUUCCAUCUCUCACUGAUUCUGAGGUAAAUCUUUCGGCAGACAACGAAAUGCACGACACUGAAGAUCAUAAUGGCUUAGAGAAAGAAACGGAAUCGCCUACAAGCCAUUGUGGCGUAAGAGUGGGAGAAAAUGAACCUCCAGAGUCAAAUACAUCCGCUGGUCAGAUAGAUGCAUUGAAAAAGAGACCUCAACUUGGAAUAUCCUCGGACCAAGGUGUUUCCCAGUUUAAUAGAAAUAUAGCAUGCACAGAAACAUGUGAAUCUCAUGGUCUAGAGGGCUCUAUACAGAAUCUUUUCUGCUCUAGCUCCCUUAUGGAGGGUUCACAACUGCAGAAUAAGCGGAGAAGAACCCUGUACAAAGUAACUAGUAGAGAGCCUUCGUCAAACCCAGUGGGAGACAUUCUGGACUCAGAUUCUGUUAGGGAAACAGUACAUCAUAGUGAGGAAGCCGCAAGUCACAACCUCAAUCAAUACGAUGUAGAGUUGCAAAAGAUAAUUGGAUCUGCAUCUUCAGAUCAUUAUGAAGUUGAGUUACAAAAGAUGAUUGGAUCUGCAUCGUCGGCUGAGUUACGAUUUGGAGAGGAUUACUUAUUCAAGGAAGCUGGAUUGAUGAGUCCUGCCUCGCUUUCCUUCAGACCAGAACAGAGUGUAGACAGGAGUCUUACUGCUCCAAAUCAGGGACUUAUAACAGAAAAUAUGGACUUUCUGCCAUUUGCUGGAGAAACCUCUCACCCAUUUGCUAGUGGCGUUGUACGUAGUUCAGAUUGUUCUCCUUGUUUGUCACCCUUGGGUUUGACAGGCGCAGACGAUGGAAGCCCCCCUGUUUUGGAGGGCUUUAUAGUCCAAACGGAUGAUGAAAGUCAAAGCGGUUCCAAAAACCAGAUAAAACAUGACAGCUUCGAAUUUCCAAAAACUACAGCAGAAAGUGCAACCAUCAUAGAGCAGAUUCGCAAGUCUGCUUGCAGGAUCACUCCCUCAUUAAAUCCAGCUAAAAUAUUCAAGUUCAAUGAGAAACUGGAUUUGGAUCAGUCCGUUUCAACUGAACUUUUUGAUGGCAUGUUUUUCAGUCAGAAUUUGGAGGGUAGCUCUGUCUUUGAUAACUUGGGGGUUAACAAUGACUAUACAGGAAAUUUGUACACUAGCUGUCUGCCCUUUUCUGGUGCUGGCUCAUCUGCUGAUGCUAGGAACCUUCUUACGUCUCCAAAUGGGAAGUUGUGGUAUAGAAGUUUGCAAAAGUCUGCCAGUUCAGAGAAGCAGGGCAUUCAGACACCAGACCUACCUUGCAUUAGCGAAGAGAAUGAGAACGUGGAUGAGGAGCCUGAAAACCUAUGCGCUAACACUCCAAAGUCGAUGAGGUCAGCGAAUCGACGAAGUUCAAUUCCAGACCUUCCUUGCAUAGCUGAAGAGAAUGAGAAAGAAGAUGAGAUAUUAGAAGCUGUCAGUCAAGUAUCUGAUGGUUCCAAAAGUGGGAAUGCCUCUGCUGAAAAGAAGCCUCUUGCUGAUGUUGAUGAAGAAGACCCUAUGAAAUUUCUUCCAUCUGUUUCUAACGUCAAGAUCCCUGUUGAUAGACAGAGCCUAGAUUCUGUCAAUACUGCGUUUAGUUUUUCUGCUACGUGCAACAACAGUGUCAAAAGUAAACCAGAAAGGAAGAUGGGUGGUAGCCGAAGAUUCACAGGUAAAGGUAAAGAGAAUCAAGGUGGAGCAGGCGCUGGAAGAAAUGUUAGACCCCCUAGUAGCAGGUUCAGUAAGACUAAGUUGUCUUGCAACUCGAGUUUGACUUCUGUAGGGCCGCGAUUACCAGAUAAAGAACCUAGGCACAACAACAUUGUCUCAAACAUCACUUCGUUCGUUCCACUUGUGCAGCAGCAAAAAGCAGCUGCAGCAAUCAUUACAGGCAAGAGGGAUGUCAAAGUAAAGGCCCUAGAAGCAGCUGAGGCCUCAAAAAGGAUGGCUGAACAGAAAGAAAAUGAACGCAAGAUGAAGAAAGAAGCAAUGAAGCUUGAACGGGCAAGGCUGGAACAAGAAAACCUGAGAAAGCAAGAGAUUGAGAGGAAAAAGAAAGAAGAAGAGCGAAAGAAAAAGGAAGCUGAAAUUGCAUGGAAGCAGGAGAUGGAAAAGAAAAAGAAAGAAGAAGAGCGGAAGAGAAAAGAGUUUGAAAUGGCGGAUAAAAAGAGGCAGAGGGAAGAAGACAAGAAGUUGAAGGAAGCUAAAAGACAGAGAGUUGCAGAAAUGCAGAGACAACAAAAAGAGGCUGAUGAGAAAUUACAAGCUGAAAAGGAACUGAAAAGAAAGGCUAUGGAUGCGAAGAUAAAAGCACUGAAGGAACUUAAAGAAGAACAAGGUAAUGCUAGGAUCCGUGAAGCAAGACCAAAGAGUAAUUCCAGCGACGAUACCAAUGCAUCAAGAUCCUCGAGAGAGGAUGAUCUCAAGGUGAUAAGCAACAUAGGGAAAAUGUCUGAAGAGUCCUACGACAUCUCUCCAUACAAAUGCUCAGACGACGAAGAUGAAGAGGAAGACGACGAUGACGACAUGUCAAACCACAAAUUCGUUCCUUCUUGGGCCAGCAAGAGCAAUGUACUUCUCGGCGUCAUUUCUCAAGAAAAUCGUGAUCCCGAUGUUGCUUUCCCUGCAAAACGCUUCCGCAGUAUAACCAAAGUUCUUUUGCCGCGAAAGUUCCGAAGCCAGUAGCAUAAACUACGCGGAGCCAAACUCAGAUUCUCGGAGACAGUAAAACUGUGUUUCAAGUUCCUUAGUAGCUUCAGCUUCAAAGUCUGUGAAUACACUCUCUCUUUGUGCUUAACCUAUUGUAGCAAAUGAUCCUAUUUGCUUUUGUAAGGAUUAGUAAAUGGAGACAGUAAUGUAAUAAUUAAUUUCAUCCCAUUGGCAUUCACAUUCAGUCUAACGCUUGAAUUUCAUUUGAUUUUUUGGUUCAGUGAGUUUAUAUAUUGAACAAUUAGGUUUUUCGAAUUCAUAUAAACCCUAUUUCAGAUAUAAACCCUAGUUCCAAGUUGAUAAAGAAUGGGAAGUAGAUUUAAAGAGGAUUCAUAACAUCCUUGAGCUCGUCUCAAAAUUCACAGAAAACAUUGACAAUGGUCAUGGAGAAGCUUAAGGCCUUGUAAAGUCACAAGAAGGGAUAACAAGCUUUAGUCAUAUGAAAUCCUUUCCCUAAGCUAGCGUUAACACAUAUCUCGAGAAUUGUGUGUUUCUGCUUAGUAGGUGCAGUUGCAGUUCAUCACCGUGAAGAGCUGGAUGGGAGCCAGCUAAAAAGACUCCUUGAAAUUUGUCUGAUUCACAGUAUGCAUCUUACUAUCUUUCUUUGCUUCUCUGAUUAGCAAUUAAGUAUGCAAUCAUAGUUAUACUUUUGUUUGCUCUUGUUUUCGUUGGCAGUUCUUGAUGCG
This is an RNA transcript of Brassica rapa (field mustard), 6208 nucleotides long. It is a transcript of the gene named titin homolog, with no coding region annotated. The record is from RefSeq and is a predicted model, not a curated record. NCBI's taxonomy places the organism in Eukaryota, Viridiplantae, Streptophyta, Magnoliopsida, Brassicales, Brassicaceae.